GCAGGAAUGGCGGAAUAGGUAGACGCACUACUUUGAGGGGGUAGUGAUUAAUUAAUCGUGCGAGUUCGAGUCUCGUUUCCUGCACCA
Molecule: transfer RNA, 87 nt
Filed under: Candidatus Onthousia excrementipullorum
Lineage: Bacteria; Bacillati; Bacillota; Bacilli
Description: tRNA-Leu
Rfam family: tRNA
About the family: Transfer RNA (tRNA) molecules are approximately 80 nucleotides in length. Their secondary structure includes four short double-helical elements and three loops (D, anti-codon, and T loops). Further hydrogen bonds mediate the characteristic L-shaped molecular structure. tRNAs have two regions of fundamental functional importance: the anti-codon, which is responsible for specific mRNA codon recognition, and the 3' end, to which the tRNAs corresponding amino acid is attached (by aminoacyl-tRNA synthetases). tRNAs cope with the degeneracy of the genetic code in two manners: having more than one tRNA (with a specific anti-codon) for a particular amino acid; and 'wobble' base-pairing, i.e. permitting non-standard base-pairing at the 3rd anti-codon position.
Source: RNAcentral